CCAAUCGCUCCCAGCUAUUUGAGCCAAUGGAGAAGUUCCUGAUGCCCACACCUGCUGGUCUCACCGCUAGGGCCUGGGCAUCACAGGCAGGGGGAAUGGGGAGGGGACGGUAGCGUCAGCCUACACCCACACGCAGUUUCCUGAUAAAAGGUCCUUUGGAAACUUUGAUUCUCUUCUCACCAAGUUGAACGGAGAUGUGUUCCCAUAGUAAGAGUGAGGCCCCUGCAUUUGCUGCCCUCGGUUUUCCCAACUAACACCAGGGCCUCCCCCCUGUACCCCAUUCAUAUGCCUCAGAAGCUGACAAUGACUGUUGGGCUUUUCCAAUGAAUACCAGAACACCAUUUCCUGCAGCCUGAAAAGAAGACAGUAUAAUUGUUUGGCAGCAAGAGAAUCCAGGUGCCCUUCCAUGAGAAGCCCAAGCCAUGUGGAGAAGCCACGUCUAGGGACUCCAGUUAACACUCUCAGCUGAGUCCCCAGCUGACAGUCAGCAUCAACUGCCAGCCACCUCUGUCUAAAAGUGGGCUAUCUUGGGCAUCCAGCCCAGUCAAGCCUUCAGAUGAGUCCAGUCCCAGCCACUAUCUCACACAACCACACGAGAGACAUCAAGAACUCCCAGUGGAGUCCAGUCAGCCCAUGGAACUGCAAGAGACAGGAUCUCGCUGCGUUGCUCAGACUGGUCUCGAACUCCUGGGCUUAAGGGAUUCUCCUGCCUCAAUCACAGCCUCCCAAGUAGCUGAGAUUAAAAGUGCUCACCACCGUGCCAGCGAGUUCAGUUUUUGAGUGUCCUCCGACACUGACUCUGUGCUUGGCCCUGUGACUUGCUUUGGCCAAUGGUACAGCAGCAAACUUGAUGCAAACACAACUUGAAAAAGAAGAGGACAGCCAAGUCAUCCCAGCCAAGGCCACCCUGGACCAGCCAGCCUCUUGCCAAGCUGCCAGUGACCACAGAGUCCAAUUAACAACAGCCAGUCCUGGCCCAGGGUGGAGCCAAGACUCUGAGGAGAGGGCUGAACUGUGAACCUAGAAGUACCAUCUCCCCCUGCACACACCUUUGGUCAAGUUGACCCCAAGAAGAAGGACAAGUCCUCUGCACGGCGAUGAGGCCAUACACACAGUCUGUGGCCCGGCUUUGGGAGACUGAUGGGACAAAGGAUGUUUUGCACGAUCCUUGGUCUCUGAGCAAAUAUAUACAUGGGUUAACACAAA
RNAcentral lists this long non-coding RNA (1206 nucleotides) under Homo sapiens (human). RNAcentral's name for it is "novel transcript". The record is from RNAcentral. Lineage: Eukaryota; Metazoa; Chordata; Mammalia; Primates; Hominidae.